RNAcentral lists this ribosomal RNA (253 nucleotides) under uncultured bacterium. Its description in RNAcentral is "partial 16S ribosomal RNA". It matches the Rfam family "Bacterial small subunit ribosomal RNA", at positions 524 to 776 of the family's 1533-position model. The record is from RNAcentral.
UACAGAGGGUGCAAGCGUUGUUCGGAAUUAUUGGGCGUAAAGGGAGUGUAGGCGGUCUUUUAAGUCUUCUGUGAAAUCUACGGGCUUAGCCUGUAACGUGCAGAGGAAACUGGAAGGCUUGAGUGUCGGAGAGGAUAGGGGAAUACCCAGUGUAGAGGUGAAAUUCGUAGAGAUUGGGUGGAACACCAGUGGCGAAGGCGCCUAUCUGGCUGACAACUGACGCUGAGACUCGAAAGCGUGGGGAGCAAACAGG